GCCUUCGUGGUUUAGUGGUCAGUAAGCUCCACGCGUAUUCAAGAGGUCCGUGGUUCGAUUCCCGGCGAGGGCA
This 73-nucleotide transfer RNA is filed under the name Stegodyphus mimosarum. It matches the Rfam family "tRNA". Rfam says of the family: Transfer RNA (tRNA) molecules are approximately 80 nucleotides in length. The record is from Rfam by way of RNAcentral. Lineage: Eukaryota; Metazoa; Arthropoda; Arachnida; Araneae; Eresidae.